AGAAUGAACGCUGGCGGCAUGCCUAACACAUGCAAGUCGAACGAGACCUUCGGGUCUAGUGGCGCACGGGUGCGUAACGCGUGGGAAUCUGCCCUUGGGUUCGGAAUAACAGUGGGAAACUACUGCUAAUACCGGAUAAUGACGUAAGUCCAAAGAUUUAUCGCCCAGGGAUGAGCCCGCGUAAGAUUAGCUAGUUGGUGGGGUAAAGGCCUACCAAGGCGACGAUCUUUAGCUGGUCUGAGAGGAUGAUCAGCCACACUGGGACUGAGACACGGCCCAGACUCCUACGGGAGGCAGCAGUGGGGAAUAUUGGACAAUGGGCGAAAGCCUGAUCCAGCAAUGCCGCGUGAGUGAUGAAGGCCUUAGGGUUGUAAAGCUCUUUUACCCGGGAAGAUAAUGACUGUACCGGGAGAAGUAAGCCCCGGCUAACUCCGUGCCAGCAGCCGC
RNAcentral lists this ribosomal RNA (447 nucleotides) under uncultured bacterium. Its description in RNAcentral is "SSU rRNA". It matches the Rfam family "Bacterial small subunit ribosomal RNA", at positions 26 to 518 of the family's 1533-position model. The record is from RNAcentral.